RNAcentral lists this ribosomal RNA (462 nucleotides) under Veillonella parvula. Its description in RNAcentral is "bacterial SSU rRNA". It matches the Rfam family "Bacterial small subunit ribosomal RNA", at positions 28 to 464 of the family's 1533-position model. Lineage: Bacteria; Bacillati; Bacillota; Negativicutes; Veillonellales; Veillonellaceae. The record is from RNAcentral.
GACGAACGCUGGCGGCGUGCUUAACACAUGCAAGUCGAACGAAGAGCGAUGGAAGCUUGCUUCUAUCAAUCUUAGUGGCGAACGGGUGAGUAACGCGUAAUCAACCUGCCCUUCAGAGGGGGACAACAGUUGGAAACGACUGCUAAUACCGCAUACGAUCUAAUCUCGGCAUCGAGGAUAGAUGAAAGGUGGCCUCUACAUGUAAGCUAUCACUGAAGGAGGGGAUUGCGUCUGAUUAGCUAGUUGGAGGGGUAACGGCCCACCAAGGCGAUGAUCAGUAGCCGGUCUGAGAGGAUGAACGGCCACAUUGGGACUGAGACACGGCCCAGACUCCUACGGGAGGCAGCAGUGGGGAAUCUUCCGCAAUGGACGAAAGUCUGACGGAGCAACGCCGCGUGAGUGAUGACGGCCUUCGGGUUGUAAAGCUCUGUUAAUCGGGACGAAAGGCCUUCUUGCGAAUAU